CGGGGAACUGAAACAUCUAAGUACCCGGAGGAAGAGAAAACAAUAGUGAUUCCCUAAGUAGUGGCGAGCGAACGGGGAAUAGCCCAAACCGAUGUCGUUUCGGCGGCAGCGGGGUUGUAGGGCUCACGUUUGGGAGCACGCGAUGAAGACGAAUGGCACUGGAAAGGCCAACCAUAGAAGGUGAAAGUCCUGUAGACGUAAAUCAACUGCCCCUGUGAUGUCCCUGAGUACCGCGGGACCGGAGAAAUCCUGUGGGAAGCUACCAGCACCAUCUGGUAAGGCUAAAUACGAUCUAUGACCGAUAGUGAACUAGUACCGUGAGGGAAAGGUGAAAAGAACCCCUGUUAGGGGAGUGAAAUAGUACUUGAAACCGUUUGCUUACAAGCAGUGGGAGCUGGACAAUUUUUUGAGAGUCUAGUGACUGCAUGCCUUUUGCAUAAUGAGUCAGCGAGUUACUUUGUGUAGCGAGGUUAAGCCAUAGGGUGUAGCCGGAGCGAAAGCGAGUCUUAAUAGGGCGAAUGAGUACGUAGCAUUAGACCCGAAGGCAAGUGAUCUAGAUAUGGGCAGGCUGAAGGUGCAGUAACAUGCACUGGAGGGCCGAACCGUUGAGCGUUGAAAAGCUCUCGGAUGACCUGUGUGUAGGGGUGAAAGGCCAAUCAAACUUGCUGAUAGCUGGUUCUCCGCGAAAUCUAUUUAGGUAGAGCGUCACGAUUAAGACUCCUGGGGGUAGAGCACUGGAUGGACUAGGGGGCCUCACCGGCUUACCAAAUCUUACCAAACUCCGAAUACCAGGAAGUUAUGCGUGGCAGACACACGGCGGGUGCUAACGUCCGUCG
Molecule: ribosomal RNA, 836 nt
Filed under: Pseudo-nitzschia fraudulenta
Lineage: Eukaryota; Bacillariophyta; Bacillariophyceae; Bacillariales; Bacillariaceae
Description: partial Bacterial large subunit ribosomal RNA
Rfam family: Bacterial large subunit ribosomal RNA
Source: RNAcentral